RNAcentral lists this ribosomal RNA (430 nucleotides) under bacterium. RNAcentral describes it as "bacterial SSU rRNA". It matches the Rfam family "Bacterial small subunit ribosomal RNA", at positions 354 to 776 of the family's 1533-position model. The record is from RNAcentral. RNAcentral also lists the same sequence under 1 other name.
GUGGGGAAUAUUGCGCAAUGGGCGAAAGCCUGACGCAGCGACGCCGCGUGAGGGAUGAAGGUUUUCGGAUCGUAAACCUCUGUCAGAAGGGAAGAAAGUGCGUGGUGCUAAUCAGCCGCGUAUUGACGGUACCUUCAAAGGAAGCACCGGCUAACUCCGUGCCAGCAGCCGCGGUAAUACGGAGGGUGCGAGCGUUAAUCGGAAUUACUGGGCGUAAAGCGCACGUAGGCUGUUGUGUAAGUCAGGGGUGAAAUCCCACGGCUCAACCGUGGAACUGCCCUUGAUACUGCAUGACUGGAAUCCGGGAGAGGGUGGCGGAAUUCCAGGUGUAGGAGUGAAAUCCGUAGAUAUCUGGAGGAACAUCAGUGGCGAAGGCGGCCACCUGGACCGGUAUUGACGCUGAGGUGCGAAAGCGUGGGGAGCAAACAGG